CUGGCUGUAGCUCAGGAGUGAGAGCGCUUGGUCGGGGACCAAGAGGCCGCAGGUGCGAAUCCUGUCAGUCAGA
This 73-nucleotide transfer RNA is filed under the name Gemmatimonadaceae bacterium. RNAcentral's name for it is "tRNA-Pro". It matches the Rfam family "tRNA". From Rfam's summary of the family: Transfer RNA (tRNA) molecules are approximately 80 nucleotides in length. Their secondary structure includes four short double-helical elements and three loops (D, anti-codon, and T loops). Further hydrogen bonds mediate the characteristic L-shaped molecular structure. tRNAs have two regions of fundamental functional importance: the anti-codon, which is responsible for specific mRNA codon recognition, and the 3' end, to which the tRNAs corresponding amino acid is attached (by aminoacyl-tRNA synthetases). tRNAs cope with the degeneracy of the genetic code in two manners: having more than one tRNA (with a specific anti-codon) for a particular amino acid; and 'wobble' base-pairing, i.e. permitting non-standard base-pairing at the 3rd anti-codon position. Lineage: Bacteria; Pseudomonadati; Gemmatimonadota; Gemmatimonadia; Gemmatimonadales; Gemmatimonadaceae. The record is from RNAcentral.